Pteropus alecto (black flying fox) is the source of this 74-nucleotide non-coding RNA. The record is from Rfam. Lineage: Eukaryota; Metazoa; Chordata; Mammalia; Chiroptera; Pteropodidae.
GGUUCCAUAGUGUAGUGGUUAGCAUGUCUGCUUUACAUGCAGAAGGUCCUGUGUUCACACCCCAGGUGGAGCCA